GAUCGGUGUUCAACCGAUGGGAGUUUGAGGAAAUAACAGGCCUGUGAUGCACUUAGAUGUACUGGGCCGCCGCGCGCUAUACUGAUGAAAUCAUCGAGUCCAUUUCCUUGAUCGGAAGACAUGGGUAAUAUUUUGAAACGUCAUCGUGCAGGGGAUAGAUCAUUGCAACCAUUGCUCUUCAACGAGGAAACCCUAGUAACUACAAGUCAAUAGCUUGUGUUGAUUACGUGCCUGCCCUUAGUACACACCCCCCGUCGCUGCUACCGAUUUAAUGGCUUAAUGAGGCCUUUGGAUUGAAAAUCGGAGACUCGCAACAGACGCUUGGUUUUUAAAAGUUGGCCAAACUUGGACAUUUAGAGAGAAGUAAAAAUCGUAACAAGGUUUCCGUAAGUGAACCUGCGGAAGGAUCGUUACCGAUUCUAGCGAACCUAACCUUUGGUUAUGGUCUCGCGAAAACUUGGUAUUUAAAACCCCACAUCAUAUAAAUUGAAUCAUUCAUUAUUAUGUAUUAUAAAAUAGAUCACUUUCAACAACGGAUCCCUUGGCUCUCGCAUCGAUGAAGAACGUAGCGAAGUGCGACAAGUAGUGUGAAUUGCAGAUUUCCGUGAAGCAUCGAAUCGUUGAACGCAAAUUGCACUCUCUUCGGAGAGUAUGCCUGUGUGAGGGUCAGUAUUAAUAAAAAUCGGUGUCUUGCUCCUUUGUGACGCUCUGGAGUUUGGAUCAUCUUAAUAUCCUUUAGGUUUUAAAAGGCUUAAAAUUUAAUCUUUUUCUGCGCAUUUGUAGAUGUACAUAAAUUUUUAUUUUAUUCGUCUGUCUUAAUGCUCAAAAUUCUAUUAGAUCCGAUCAUAUCAUGUGGUUUCAAGUAAAAGACGUAACAAGGU
This 881-nucleotide ribosomal RNA is filed under the name Rhizophagus intraradices. RNAcentral describes it as "bacterial SSU rRNA". The stretch from base 1 to 413 matches the Rfam family "Eukaryotic small subunit ribosomal RNA", at positions 1421 to 1831 of the family's 1831-position model. The record is from RNAcentral. Lineage: Eukaryota; Fungi; Glomeromycota; Glomeromycetes; Glomerales; Glomeraceae.